RNAcentral lists this ribosomal RNA (536 nucleotides) under Staphylococcus aureus. RNAcentral's name for it is "partial 23S ribosomal RNA". It matches the Rfam family "Bacterial large subunit ribosomal RNA", at positions 1 to 530 of the family's 2925-position model. Lineage: Bacteria; Bacillati; Bacillota; Bacilli; Caryophanales; Staphylococcaceae. The record is from RNAcentral.
GAUUAAGUUAUUAAGGGCGCACGGUGGAUGCCUUGGCACUAGAAGCCGAUGAAGGACGUUACUAACGACGAUAUGCUUUGGGGAGCUGUAAGUAAGCUUUGAUCCAGAGAUUUCCGAAUGGGGAAACCCAGCAUGAGUUAUGUCAUGUUAUCGAUAUGUGAAUACAUAGCAUAUCAGAAGGCACACCCGGAGAACUGAAACAUCUUAGUACCCGGAGGAAGAGAAAGAAAAUUCGAUUCCCUUAGUAGCGGCGAGCGAAACGGGAAGAGCCCAAACCAACAAGCUUGCUUGUUGGGGUUGUAGGACACUCUAUACGGAGUUACAAAGGACGACAUUAGACGAAUCAUCUGGAAAGAUGAAUCAAAGAAGGUAAUAAUCCUGUAGUCGAAAAUGUUGUCUCUCUUGAGUGGAUCCUGAGUACGACGGAGCACGUGAAAUUCCGUCGGAAUCUGGGAGGACCAUCUCCUAAGGCUAAAUACUCUCUAGUGACCGAUAGUGAACCAGUACCGUGAGGGAAAGGUGAAAAGCACCCCGGA